ACAGGUACCGUAACCCAUGCAAGUCGAGCGGUAACUUUCUAGCUUGCUAGAAGAUGACGAGCGGCGGACGGGUGAGUAAUGCUUGGGAACAUGCCUUUAGGUGGGGGACAACCAUUGGAAACGAUGGCUAAUACCGCAUAAUGUCUACGGACCAAAGGGGGCUUCGGCUCUCGCCUUUAGAUUGGCCCAAGUGGGAUUAGCUAGUUGGUGAGGUAACGGCUCACCAAGGCGACGAUCCCUAGCUGGUUUGAGAGGAUGAUCAGCCACACUGGAACUGAGACACGGUCCAGACUCCUACGGGAGGCAGCAGUGGGGAAUAUUGCACAAUGGGCGCAAGCCUGAUGCAGCCAUGCCGCGUGUGUGAAGAC
Molecule: ribosomal RNA, 368 nt
Filed under: uncultured Gammaproteobacteria bacterium
Lineage: Bacteria; Pseudomonadati; Pseudomonadota; Gammaproteobacteria
Description: bacterial SSU rRNA
Rfam family: Bacterial small subunit ribosomal RNA
Source: RNAcentral